RNAcentral lists this ribosomal RNA (707 nucleotides) under Plasmodium ovale wallikeri. Its description in RNAcentral is "SSU rRNA". It matches the Rfam family "Eukaryotic small subunit ribosomal RNA", at positions 742 to 1398 of the family's 1831-position model. Lineage: Eukaryota; Apicomplexa; Aconoidasida; Haemosporida; Plasmodiidae. The record is from RNAcentral.
GGAGAUUUUGUUACUUUGAGUAAAUUAGAGUGUUCAAAGCAAACAGUUAAAGCAUUUUACUGCGUUUGAAUACUACAGCAUGGAAUAACAAAAUUGAACAAGUCAAAACUCUGUUCCUUUUUCUUAUUUUGGCUUAGUUACGAUUAAUAGGAGUAGCUUGGGGGCAUUUGUAUUCAGAUGUCAGAGGUGAAAUUCUUAGAUUUUCUGGAGACAAACAACUGCGAAAGCAUUUGCCUAAAAUACUUCCAUUAAUCAAGAACGAAAGUUAAGGGAGUGAAGACGAUCAGAUACCGUCGUAAUCUUAACCAUAAACUAUGCCGACUAGGUUUUGGAUGAAAGAUUUUUAAAUAAGAAAAUUCCUUUUGGAAAUUUCUUAGAUUGCUUCCUUCAGUACCUUAUGAGAAAUCAAAGUCUUUGGGUUCUGGGGCGAGUAUUCGCGCAAGCGAGAAAGUUAAAAGAAUUGACGGAAGGGCACCACCAGGCGUGGAGCUUGCGGCUUAAUUUGACUCAACACGGGGAAACUCACUAGUUUAAGACAAGAGUAGGAUUGACAGAUUAAUAGCUCUUUCUUGAUUUCUUGGAUGGUGAUGCAUGGCCGUUUUUAGUUCGUGAAUAUGAUUUGUCUGGUUAAUUCCGAUAACGAACGAGAUCUUAACCUGCUAAUUAGCGGCGAAUACGUUAUAUUCCUACUUGAAAUUGAAUAUAGC